AUUGAACGCUGGCGGCAUGCUUUACACAUGCAAGUCGAACGGCAGCGCGGGCUUCGGCCUGGUGGCGAGUGGCGAACGGGUGAGUAAUAUAUCGGAACGUACCCAGGAGUGGGGGAUAACGUAGUGAAAGUUACGCUAAUACCGCAUACGUCCUAAGGGAGAAAGUGGGGGAUCGCAAGACCUCAUGCUCAUGGAGCGGCCGAUAUCUGAUUAGCUAGUUGGUGGGGUAAAGGCUCACCAAGGCAACGAUCAGUAGCUGGUCUGAGAGGACGACCAGCCACACUGGAACUGAGACACGGUCCAGACUCCUACGGGAGGCAGCAGUGGGGAAUUUUGGACAAUGGGGCAAUCCUGAUCCAGCAAUGCCGCGUGAGUGAAGAAGGCCUUCGGGUUGUAAAGCUCUUUUGUCAGGGAAGAAACGACUCCUUCUAAUACAGGGGGUUAAUGACGGUACCUGAAGAAUAAGCACCGGCUAACUACGUGCCAGCCGCCGCGGUAA
RNAcentral lists this ribosomal RNA (499 nucleotides) under uncultured bacterium. Its description in RNAcentral is "partial 16S ribosomal RNA". It matches the Rfam family "Bacterial small subunit ribosomal RNA", at positions 30 to 523 of the family's 1533-position model. The record is from RNAcentral.